This is a long non-coding RNA of Homo sapiens (human), 1327 nucleotides long. RefSeq lists it as uncharacterized. The transcript has 10 exons. The record is from RefSeq and is a predicted model, not a curated record. NCBI's taxonomy places the organism in Eukaryota, Metazoa, Chordata, Mammalia, Primates, Hominidae.
GUCUCUAGUUCCAUAGAAAGAAGGCAAAUGAAGAGGACAGAAGAAGGAGAGAGACCUUCCCACCCCAUCAGCCCUAUGCUGCAGAGAGUUAAGUGAAGACAUAUGAUGUGCUCUGGCCAAUGAAAUGGAUCCCACAUCUACUUCUCUUGCAGAAACCAACUGGUGGAAGUGACCUUCUCAUGGAGUGUCCUUCACAAUCCUGGUGGAAGUCACAGGCCUGCCCAAGCUGGAGGACUGUCCCAUUCCAACAAGUGAAGGAGCUCUGCAGGGCCAUCUUGGAGCCUGGGGAUGUUCCUGGAGAGCACACAGACACACAACCAUGGUUCUACCACUGGAGUGACUUAUUGAGAAGAUAUUAGAAAGAUGCAGCACUUUCUGUUCUGGAAUGCAAAGAACACCAUCAUGCAAGCCUGGGCCUCAGAUCUGGACUUGGAUCCUCCUGCCUGGCUGUAUGAGGCUGACCAUGUCCCUUCUCUGUGUGGCCCCUGUCCCAUCCUCUAUCAAAGGAGGGAUUUCUAUUAGAUUGCUAAGGCCCCAGAGAUUCAGACAACAGGAAGGAGAAGGCUGGUCUGGCUUAGCCUCCCUGACCAAAUGGAGGGCUUUGCCUGGGGACCACCUCACAAGGCCUGGCUGGUGCCUCCUGCUACUCAGUUCUUGGCUGAUGUCAGAUGGGGAGACUCUGGCCCCUGUGGAGAUGAGCAGAACUUGCUCAGUGCUGCCAACUCCAUUCAGGAUGAUGGCUGCCCACUCAUACCUGCAAUGGGUCAUGGACUGGGAAGCUGAUGAAACUGCAACUGGCAUGGGCUGCUGGGAGCCACCAUACAUGGAGGAGAGUGAUGGCUGAUUCACAGGUUUCUGGGAUUAGAACUAUCCUGAUACAUAACUCCAGAGCAUUCUAUGUGAGGUCUAUCGGGACUGGUUGAAGGGAUAAGAUGGAAGCCACAAAGAAAAUCUUGUGAAUGUGAAGGAAUUGGGCCAUUGGACCAGUCCUCUGCUCAGAGUUCCUGCAUCCUGGGGGCCACUUCUGAACCAGACCAUGCCCACUCCAGCCACCACAGAUCGAGCCACGGGCAACCAAUUACUAGACUGGCCACACCUGUGACUUGUGUGGUUCCGCCUUAAGAGAUAGACUGGAGCAAUCAGAUUCUCAGUUUGAGAAAUCUGAUCAAACACAUGGAAAGACUUGCUGAUUUAUGGUGAUGAUUGCAGCUGCAAAGUCUUGAGCUGCCCCGUCAUAAGGAGUAGGAGAUGAUGACCAUCUUGGAGGAGGGAGAUGCUGUAUCCUGGAGAGGCCACUGGGGUAGGAAUCGGCCAUCUGUGCUCCGCU